This 1234-nucleotide ribosomal RNA is filed under the name Fischerella sp. Its description in RNAcentral is "partial 23S ribosomal RNA". It matches the Rfam family "Bacterial large subunit ribosomal RNA", at positions 1 to 962 of the family's 2925-position model. The record is from RNAcentral. Lineage: Bacteria; Bacillati; Cyanobacteriota; Cyanophyceae; Nostocales; Hapalosiphonaceae.
AAGUUACUCAAGCGCAUACAAGGGAUGCCUAGACGUAAGAUACCGAUGAAGGACGUAGUAGGUUGCGAUAAGCUUCGGGGAGUUGCCUAACAAACUUUGAGCCGAAGAUAUCCGAAUGGGGAAACCCACAUGGAGUCAUGUCCAUGGGCGCUUAUCUGAAUUAAAUAGGAUAAGUAGCGGGAACCGGGGGAACUGAAACAUCUUAGUACCUCGAGGAAGAGAAAGUAAACAACGAUUCCGUUAGUAGUGGCGAGCGAAUGCGGAAUAGCCCAAACUUUUUAGGUUUUUGCCUAUCCAUUUAUGGAUGGCAAAUAAGUUGGUAGACGAAUAUCUAAAAAGGGUUGUAACAUCACAAAUACCAGUACGGAGUUCUGCGCAAGCAGCCUUCCGUAUUGGAAACGAAUGCUACCACCAUUCGUGUAAGGUAAGAAAUUAGCAGUGCGAGUAGAACAGUCUGGAAAGACUGGCCAAAGACGGUGAUAGCCCGGUAUACCAAGUGUUGCUAACCUUAUAAUUUGUUUUGUUGAGUAGGUCGGGACACGUGAAACCCUGACUGAAUCUGGGGGGACCACCCUCCAAGGCUAAAUAUAUCUUGCGAUCGAUAGUGAACUAGUACCGUGAGGGAAAGGUUAAAAGAACCCCGAAAGGGGAGUGAAAUAGAACCUGAAAUUGUAUGCGUACAAGGAGUCGGAGCCCUUCGGGGUGACGGCGUGCUUUUUGUAGAACGAUCCAGCGAGUUACUGAUUGUCGCGAGCCUAAGACAUUUGUCGGAGGCACAGUGAAAGCGAGGCUGAAUAGGCCGGUGGGGUCUCAUGCCUGAGAAGAAUUGGAUUGCGAGUUCAAAUCACUAGCCUGUAACGUCGUAAAUUUUAUGAGACGUAUUAAUCAAUACGCCGCAGUAAAAUUUCCGGCGCUACAGGCAGCGAUUUUAGCUCUCAUUACCAAUUUUCCCAGACAUGAGACCCCGUAUAGUGGCAAUUAGUAGACCCGAAACCAGGUGACCUAACCAUGGGCAGGUUGAAGCGUCGGUAAAACGGCGUGGAGGACCGAACCAGGGUACUUUUCAACGUGCUUGGAUGACCUGUGGUUAGCGGUGAAAUGCCAAUCGAACCUGGAGAUAGCUGGUUCUCCUCGAAAUAGCUUUAGGGCUAGCGUCGUACGGUAGCUGAUAGGGGUAGAGCUCUGUUUCGGACUGGGGGUCGCAAGAUUACCCACCCUUGACAAACUACGAAUA